Molecule: ribosomal RNA, 255 nt
Filed under: uncultured bacterium
Lineage: Bacteria
Description: partial 16S ribosomal RNA
Rfam family: Bacterial small subunit ribosomal RNA
Source: RNAcentral
GACGUAGGGCGCGAGCGUUUGUCCGGAUUUAUUGGGCGUAAAGAGCUCGUAGGCGGUUUGUUGCGUCGGCUGUGAAAUCCCGAGGCUCAACCUCGGGUCUGCAGUCGAUACGAGCAAACUAGAGUGUUGCAGGGGAGACUGGAAUUCCUGGUGUAGCGGUGAAAUGCGCAGAUAUCAGGAGGAACACCGGUGGCGAAGGCGGGUCUCUGGGCAACAACUGACGCUGGAGGAGCGAAAGCGUGGGGAGCGAACAGG